RNAcentral lists this ribosomal RNA (253 nucleotides) under uncultured bacterium. Its description in RNAcentral is "partial 16S ribosomal RNA". It matches the Rfam family "Bacterial small subunit ribosomal RNA", at positions 524 to 776 of the family's 1533-position model. The record is from RNAcentral.
UACGUAGGGUGCGAGCGUUAAUCGGAAUUACUGGGCGUAAAGUGUGCGCAGGCGGUUUCGCAAGUCAAGUGUGAAAGCCCCGGGCUUAACCUGGGAACUGCGCUUGAAACUACGGAACUCGAGUAUGGCAGAGGAAGGUGGAAUUCCACGUGUAGCGGUGAAAUGCGUAGAGAUGUGGAGGAACACCGAUGGCGAAGGCAGCCCCCUGGGCUAACACUGACGCUCAUGCACGAAAGCGUGGGGAGCAAACAGG